RNAcentral lists this ribosomal RNA (292 nucleotides) under uncultured bacterium. Its description in RNAcentral is "partial 16S ribosomal RNA". It matches the Rfam family "Bacterial small subunit ribosomal RNA", at positions 505 to 796 of the family's 1533-position model. The record is from RNAcentral.
GUGCCAGCAGCCGCGGUAAUACGUAGGCAGCGAGCGUUGUUCGGAGUUACUGGGCGUAAAGGGUGUGUAGGCGGUUCUUUAAGUUUGGCGUGAAAUCUCCCGGCUCAACCGGGAGGGUGCGUCGAAUACUGAGGGACUAGAGUACGGGAGAGGAAAGUGGAAUUCCUGGUGUAGCGGUGAAAUGCGUAGAUAUCAGGAGGAACACCGGUGGUGUAGACGGCUUUCUGGACCGUAACUGACGCUGAGACACGAAAGCGUGGGUAGCAAACAGGAUUAGAUACCCGGGUAGUCC